UUAGAGCCUAUGUGCUAAUUACUCUGGAUGGUCCCAGAGACGGAGAUUAUAAAUCCAUUAGCACUGAAACCCUCGUGGUUCCACAGUGCAAACACUGUAAUUUUGUAGUACACCAAAAAACCAAACUUUAAGUACCAGGAGCUAGAUGAAGGGAAACAGAUUUUUCAACAGCGUGUGUACUUCUUAGGAAACCAGCGUGGAAGGAAGCCUAGCGUAUAUCAAUCAGUAGCUAAGCCCAAUACACAGGGAAAAACUAACAGAAAAUUAACUGACAUGGGAAAAUGUUUUAUCAGAAGGGCUUGUGACUGUCAGUGCCCGGAGGGUUUGCCUUAAAAGCAACCUGCUUAUAUUACUGUGUCAACUUAAUGCAACACUGUAAUCAGAAAUGCUCAACACAACGCAAUUUUAAUAUUGUGAGGACUAUUUUCAUGCAAGUUUGGGAAAUAAUUUAGUCUCAUUCCCCAAGUGCCUGUCAAAUAUUCAGGGAGAGAUGCAGCCCUGAGCAACAAAGUGAAUUAGAACGGGACUUAAUACCUGCUUGGCUGAGUUUAAAGAGGGCAACGCAAAAACCCCCAAAACAAAACAAAAAAAAAAACCUAACCGGGGGUUCGUGAAGGCACCUUAAGGUAAUUUAUUUCAGGGAAACCGGGGGGCCAAAGGUGGAAUUCUUGAGAAAUUCAACAAGGAUAAGGGAGCUUUAGGAAUUCUGCACGCAGAUUACCUUUCAUCCCAUCCUCACAUUAUCCGACAACACACUGUAGAAAUAUAGCCCAGCGACAGAAGAGCGAGAUUACUCUCCGACACAGAAGAGUGCAAAACCUUCUUUCUUUUUUUUUUAAGUAUUGCGAUUACUUCUUAAGCGAACAAGAAGCGAGAGACAGACGAGGAGAGAAAAGGAAGAGGGGGGUCAGCACAGCGGAGGAGUGUUUUCCUGUGCGCUUAAUGUUCAGAUUGUCCUGUCACUGCCAUAGCGCUGUAGUGGGUGACGGACUCACCUAUGAGAGUUAGCUCCCAUUUCAAAAUAUUUAUGGCAGAAAAUUUCACAUCAGACAGCAUUUACGAAUCUAAUUAGUUCGCUUCUGGUAACUUUAACACACUGAUGUUUACAUUAUGGGCUAUGGUGCCUUGCAAUGACUGAUGACCUUUGGUGAUACUUUGCUAUAGUUUUCCCAUCCCUUCCUUCUAAUUUGAAUGAGUGGCAUGAUAUAAGCACUGCACUAUUUUCCUCUCAUUUUUCCCUGAAAAAAAAAAAAAUCAACACACAGCAGGGGAUUAAUUAGAAAUGUAGUGUAGCUGAACCAUGAGCGACUGAGCACGCUGCUGCAGUCUAGUUUACAUCAGUACAGAGGAAAUCAUUUCCCAGUAAUUCUCUGAGGCAGUUUGAGUGAGAGGCAUAUUCGUGCAGAUUUACCAACUUUAAAAAUAUUUUGUGCCAUAAAUUGAUCUAUACUGUAUGAGAAAUAUGUCUUAACAUGUAGAUAUUAUCACGUCACACAAUUCUAAGUCGAGCAACUAUUAAAAAUAUUUACAUCAAAAGACACACUAACUCCUUCUUUCUCUCUCACCCACACACACACACACACACAUACGCAUGCUGACGUUUUCAUUUAAAAGGAGUGUGUUUUAGUGUGUGUGAGGGCACAUGUGUGUUAAAAAGACAGCAAAGUGAAGGUGUGAAGAUGGCCUGUGUUUAGUGUCCAGACCUGGCAGAUUGUGACCUUAUCAAUGUGAAACUCUUAAGAUAAAUUAUUCAUAGCACCUGUUUGAUGUCUCCGGCCAAAGAAUGACAAAGGUGUGUGAUUUAAAAUGCAUCUCAAAGCCAUGAAUAUUAGCUACUGCACUACCUGUCUCUCUCUCUCUCCUUUUUUUUUUUUUUUUUAAAGCUGAAUAAAAGAGAAACGGGGAGGAAGGCUGCAUUUUAAACAACAAAAAAAUGAACAAUUUGUUUCCCUAACAGGGGCACAGAAGUGUCUGGAAGUGCAGUCACAUUAAGUGAGUUGCUGCUUCGCUUUAUUUGUAGAUGAAUGAAUAAUAAUAAUAAUAAAAAAUGCUCUCAAACAUGACUGAGUUCCGCCGUUUUCAGUAUGCAAGGCGUAGCUGCCAUCAGCCAAUUGUUUUAAUUUCAUAUGACUCACAGGUGUCUGCUGUUUAUGUGGGUCACUGAAACGGGCCACACACAUUGUCAUUUCCUGCUAUGUCCUCACUUUAAUUUGAAACUUGGAGGAGAGAGUUUGUUUGAGUGAUUCCGUGUGGUUAACCUUGCCCUUUGCAGCUAAGUUUGUGUUGUUUGUCACCUCACAGGCAAAGAGGAACACGGUGGCCUGCUGCCUGGACACACAGUGGGACAUGUUGGUGUGGUGAAGGGCUGACACUCGGAUGAGAUGUAAUUUAUGGCAAGUGUUGUGUGGUCAUAGGACAGUGACAGUGACGCGUCUGCUUAGAAGCACGAGAAUUGCGACCACGAAGAGCGGUAAAUAUAACAUAAAAGGUGAAUUAAUCAUUACUUUGAUUUUAAGGAGCUGCUCUCUUCGAAAUCCAUUGCCCAGUCCUGAUUUGUUCUGUUUCAUUAUGUACAGGAGUGUGUGUUUAUCGAGUACACUCCAAGCUUUUCUACUCAGAAAUGAAUCCAAGCAUCCUGGAACUCAAAUUCUUCUUCAGUGCUUUGUUUUGGAAAAAGUCUUUGGUAUGCUUUUGGGAAACUGGCAGCUAAUCUUUUCAUAGCUAGGGGUCAACAUAACACUCGGUUUUAAUAAAACAAAUAAGACUGGGAUGGAUAUUAAUGAUGAUAUAUACAGAUGUAGUGUGCAUGAGCUUGAAUUAUGUGUGAGAGCAUGCAGAAGGAGAGACACUCUCACACAUUUGUGUGUUUACUUGCCUGUGUGUGUGUGUGUGUGCGGCCGUGAGAUAGCCGAGUCAGUUUCCCUCAGAUGUUGCCUUUAACCUUUAACCCCAGAGCUGAGGUCAAGCCCUGACAAAUGAGAUGGUCGAGUUCUGGCCAGAUCUGCAAACAUUCCACAACAAUCUUCUGUCCUCCUCCUCUCCUCUCCUCAUAUCCGUCAUUCCUCACCCCUUCACUCCUCUCAGUGUGUCUCUUCUACGGCUUCGAGAGCGAGUCAAAGAAUGUUCUCACUGCACACAAACAUGUUUUAUUGUAUUUGCUGUGGGAAUCUUAAAGCACACACACCCUUCAAAUUAAGAAUUACAGCACUGGUUAAAUUUAAUACCUCUGACAUCUGCCGUGUUUACAGAAGGAAGGAAAACAAAAGAGUAUGAUCUGAGAGGAGAAGCUGCGGUAAAGAUUUGGAUAUUACAACCGUGCACUUUGAAAGCACACUGUGUGUGUUUGGAAAGUCUGUCAGUGAUGUCAAGGAUGAGAAAUGUUGCAGUGUGGUUUUUUACACACGCUGCUGGCUCUAGCAUUUCCGGCAACAUUUCUCACACUGCCUCCCUCACACCAUCCGCUCUGCUGCAAUAUCCCCACAUUUUUCCAUCCUUUCGAUUUUUUCCCCUCCACUCCUUGUUUUCCAUCCCUUUACUCCCUUUACCCUUCCUCUUUGCUGCCCCACCCACUCCUAAUCUCAACCUCUCCCUUCCUUCUUCCUUCACCCUCCACAUUCACCCCCCUCCUUUUAUUCCUCCGCCCACAAUAUUUUUUCAGAUUUCUUUCUAACAUGCCGUUCCUCAGAAUGCUACCACCUGUGUCUUGAGGAAGAAAGGAGCCAACCACCCGCAUUCCUUUUACCAGGAGCUGGUAAAGCUACAAAAGUCACUGUUAUAUGAACACACACAGUCACCAUCGAUGACUGUGCAGCCACAAUUGUUGCAAAGGAGCCUCGAGACCAACAAAGCUGGCUGAGACGGUAGCGCCGAAUGGAUCACGCUCUUGAAUUUGAUUUCAUAAUGAUGUAAGAUUACUAAGAGGCAAUGCAACACAGCAAAGAUCUUAAUAAAAAACACAUCAAUCUUG
Molecule: long non-coding RNA, 3967 nt
Organism: Astatotilapia calliptera (eastern happy)
Lineage: Eukaryota; Metazoa; Chordata; Actinopteri; Cichliformes; Cichlidae
Source: Ensembl